AUUGGUAUCAGAGCAAGGUCAACGUUCCAGAUUUUAUUCAGAAGAUGUCACGUGGAAAGGGAUUACAAAUCAAUGAAAGUGAAAGUUCAGAUGUAUGCCCAAUUUCAAGAACAGAAUUUUCGGAAUUCCAGAAUUAUAUAGAGCAAAAAAUUGAAGAUUUGAAUGACACAUUGAAGCAAAUCUUGGCUCGAAUGUCUGCAUUAGAACUUCAUUCUCAUGGUCAAAAUAUCCACAAAAGUAAUGACUUCAACCAUACUCAAAAAAAUUUCACAAACGAAACAGGUAGCUCAAAGGGCAGAUUUCACAAUGAAGAUUCAGGAGAUUUUCGAAUGAAAAUUGACUUACCUUAUUUUAAUGGUCAUUUGAAAAUUGAAGAAUUUCUUGACUGGAUUUCAGAAGUUGAAAGAUUUUUCGAAUGCAUGAAGAUUUCUGACGAAAAACAGGUGAAAUUAGUUGCUUAUAAACUAAGAGGUGGAGCAUCUGCAUGGUGGGAUCAGGUCCAAGCUACUCGUGCCAGAUCAGGGAAAGAUCAAGUUCGAAAUUGGGAUAAAAUGAAAAAAUUGCUCAAAUCUAGAUUUCUUCCCCCUGAUUUUGAGCAGAUUCUAUAUCAACAAUAUCAGAGUUGCAAACAAGGCAAUCGGACUGUUGCAGAAUAUGCUGAAGAAUUUUAUAGAUUAUCUUCUAGGAUUGAUAUUAAUGAAUCUGAAUCUUAUAUGAUUUCCAGAUUCAAAAAUGGUCUCAGAUGGGAUAUUGAGGAAAAGGUUGCAUUACAAUCUUUCUUCAAGUUAAAUGAUGUUGUUAUGGCAUCAGAACGAGCUGAAUCACUAUUAGAAAGAGGAAAAUCAAGAACACGAAAUCUUAGCAGUAUGUCAAAUUUUCAGCAUGACAGGUCAAGGCAAGCACCCAUAUCUUCAUGUCCAAAUUUAGGAAGACUCUCAACUACAGUAGCACCAAAAUCAAAUGCACCUAUUCAAUCUGGGCGAAAUUCAUCACAAAAGAAUCCCUAUAUGCCUAACAUUGUUUCUAAAUGUUACAGAUGUAAUGAAGAAGGACAUAAAUCAAAUGUUUGCCC
This 1072-nucleotide long non-coding RNA is filed under the name Spirodela polyrhiza (greater duckweed). Its description in RNAcentral is "long non-coding RNA (SPOL_LNC001123)". The record is from RNAcentral. Lineage: Eukaryota; Viridiplantae; Streptophyta; Magnoliopsida; Alismatales; Araceae.